RNAcentral lists this ribosomal RNA (1370 nucleotides) under uncultured bacterium. RNAcentral's name for it is "bacterial SSU rRNA". It matches the Rfam family "Bacterial small subunit ribosomal RNA". The record is from RNAcentral.
AGAGUUUGAUCCUGGCUCAGAACGAACGCUGGCGGCGUGGAUAAGACAUGCAAGUCGAACGAGAGAAUUGCUAGCUUGCUAAUAAUUCUCCAGUGGCGCACGGGUGAGUAACACGUGAGUAACCUGCCCCCGAGAGCGGGAUAGCCCUGGGAAACUGGGAUUAAUACCGCAUAGUAUCGAAAGAUUAAAGCAGCAAUGCGCUUGGGGAUGGGCUCGCGGCCUAUUAGUUAGUUGGUGAGGUAACGGCUCACCAAGGCGAUGACGGGUAGCCGGUCUGAGAGGAUGUCCGGCCACACUGGAACUGAGACACGGUCCAGACACCUACGGGUGGCAGCAGUCGAGAAUCAUUCACAAUGGGGGAAACCCUGAUGGUGCGACGCCGCGUGGGGGAAUGAAGGUCUUCGGAUUGUAAACCCCUGCCAUGUGGGAGCAAAUUAAAAAGAUAGUACCACAAGAGGAAGAGACGGCUAACUCUGUGCCAGCAGCCGCGGUAAUACAGAGGUCUCAAGCGUUGUUCGGAAUCACUGGGCGUAAAGCGUGCGUAGGCUGUUUCGUAAGUCGUGUGUGAAAGGCGCGGGCUCAACCCGCGGACGGCACAUGAUACUGCGAGACUAGAGUAAUGGAGGGGGAACCGGAAUUCUCGGUGUAGCAGUGAAAUGCGUAGAUAUCGAGAGGAACACACGUGGCGAAGGCGGGUUCCUGGACAUUAACUGACGCUGAGGCACGAAGGCCAGGGGAGCGAAAGGGAUUAGAUACCCCUGUAGUCCUGGCAGUAAACGGUGCACGCUUGGUGUGCGGGGAAUCGACCCCCUGCGUGCCGGAGCUAACGCGUUAAGCGUGCCGCCUGGGGAGUACGGUCGCAAGAUUAAAACUCAAAGAAAUUGACGGGGACCCGCACAAGCGGUGGAGUAUGUGGCUUAAUUCGAUGCAACGCGAAGAACCUUACCUGGGCUUGACAUGUAAUGAACAACAUGUGAAAGCAUGCGACUCUUCGGAGGCGUUACACAGGUGCUGCAUGGCCGUCGUCAGCUCGUGUCGUGAGAUGUUUGGUUAAGUCCAGCAACGAGCGCAACCCCUGUUGCCAGUUACCAGCACGUGAAGGUGGGGACUCUGGCGAGACUGCCCAGAUCAACUGGGAGGAAGGUGGGGACGACGUCAGGUCAGUAUGGCCCUUAUGCCCAGGGCUGCACACGUACUACAAUGCCCAGUACAGAGGGGGCCGAAGCCGCGAGGCGGAGGAAAUCCUAAAAACUGGGCCCAGUUCGGACUGUAGGCUGCAACCCGCCUACACGAAGCCGGAAUCGCUAGUAAUGGCGCAUCAGCUACGGCGCCGUGAAUACGUUCCCGGGUCUUGCACUCACCGCCCGUCA